Long non-coding RNA from Triticum dicoccoides, 859 nucleotides. RefSeq lists it as uncharacterized. The transcript is spliced from 4 exons. NCBI's taxonomy places the organism in Eukaryota, Viridiplantae, Streptophyta, Magnoliopsida, Poales, Poaceae. The record is from RefSeq and is a predicted model, not a curated record.
UUGGGACGGCGAUGAUGGAGCAAGGUCGAGCCGUGGCUCGAGACAUCGUCGGCGUCCUGAUCCGUGGAUCAGAAUCGGCGCCUUCUGGUAGCGUCGGCAGUGCAUGCAGUAAUUGCGGGGUAGGUUGGCAGCUCAUGGGUGGGCAAGUACAUUUUGACUUGGCAUUCUUCCCAGGCAGCGAGAAGGUGCGGAGAUCUACUGCGACGUAGAGGAUUGGGAGGUCAUGCAAGCUCGAGGUCAUGGAGUUCUUGAUGCAGCCGAUAAACAGAACACUUCUGGAGGAGGUGAACAAUAACAACAACACGAUGGAAGUUGUGUGUGUGCUGGUGGAUGCCCCGGCGUAUGUUGAGCUUCCGAUGCCGGCGGCUUCAAGUGUGGACGGCCAGAUCUGGCGUCAGGAGCGCAUUGUAGAGGCUGGAAGUGCAGAUACGGGUCAGAGUUCAGAGCAUUCCAUAGAACAGUUGGACCCAAAAUCACCCGGCUGGACACAAAGGGGAAGCCGAUAGUUGAAAAUACACGAUCUUGUCAUUGCGAAUGCCCAGCUCUUCUGAGAUUGUUCCAGACAAAGGACAACAGAUGGUACAUAGGAGAGCACCGUGAUGUGCACAACCAUGCUCUGUCACAAACCUAUGGACAGACGAUUCACUAGCCAUCACACAAGCAUAUAGAUGUGUUGAAGUGCCAUUCAUUGACUUAACAGGGAGCACUCUAGAGCGAGAUGUUGACGCACGGCUUCAGCAACCUGCAUAUCACACUUCAGGCCUAGAAAAUGUGAAAACAGAAUAUAGGUCGGAGAACCUAGUAGGUGGGGGAGCAGACCCAAGAGCACAGGGAGACAUGUUGCCAGCAGCGGUUACAC